Molecule: ribosomal RNA, 499 nt
Filed under: uncultured bacterium
Lineage: Bacteria
Description: partial 16S ribosomal RNA
Rfam family: Bacterial small subunit ribosomal RNA
Source: RNAcentral
AUUGAACGCUGGCGGUAUGCUUAACACAUGCAAGUCGAACGAUGAGAAAGAGCUUGCUCUUUCGAUUAGUGGCGGACGGGUGCGUAACGCGUAGGAAUCUACCUAUUAGUGGGGGACAACUUAGGGAAACUUAAGCUAAUACCUCAUACGCACUACGGGGGAAAGAAGGGGACAGCAAGACCUCUUGCUAAUAGAUGAGCCUGCGUAGGAUCAGCUAGUUUGUUGGGUAAAAGCUCACCAAGGCGACGAUCCUUAACUGGUUUGAGAGAAUGAUCAGUCACACUGGAACUAAGACACGGUCCAGACUCCUACGGGAGGCAGCAGUGGGGAAUAUGGUACAAUGGGCGAAAGCCUGAUCCAGCAAUACCGCGUGUGUGAAGAAGGCCUUAGGGUUGUAAAGCACUUUCAAUUGGAAGGAAAACCUCGAAGCUAAUACCUUCGAGUUUGACAUUACCUUUAGAAGAAGCACCGGCUAACUCCGUGCCAGCAGCCGCCGUAA